RNAcentral lists this long non-coding RNA (451 nucleotides) under Oryza brachyantha (malo sina). RNAcentral's name for it is "long non-coding RNA (OBRA_LNC000439)". The record is from RNAcentral. Lineage: Eukaryota; Viridiplantae; Streptophyta; Magnoliopsida; Poales; Poaceae.
CCGCUGCUUGUUCCUCUCCACGGCCUUCUCAUCCGCUUGCCCCGGCGACACGCCCCGCCCCGCCCAUCGCUCGGUGUCCGGCGACCUCUGGGCUGCCCCCGCCCACCGCUCCUUCCACGCCCCGGCAAACUCCCGGCCACGCGCCCCAGUCGCCGCCCACGCUUCGGCGAUAUCCCGGCCGCCAUUGCGUGCCCCUGUGACCUCCCCACCGCCUGCACUCCGGCACCUCCUUCGACGACGAGCCGCCGCUCCUCGAGGAGCUCAGCAUCAGCACGCGCCAAAUCUGGAGCCACCCGCUCGCCGACCCCUCGCCCGUCGCUCCUUCCACGCCCCAGCGAACUCCCGGCCACACGCCCCGGCCGCCGCCUUUGCUCCGGCGCCCUCUCGGCUAGUCGCCGCCCGCCCCUCCUUCCACACCCCGGCGACUUCCCAGCCGCCGUCACGUGCCCCU